AACCAUAGAAACCUGCGGAGUACCUGCGGAAGGAUCAUUACUGAAGAAAUGAUAGGGUUGAGCUGACUCCUUGGAGUAUGUGCUUGCACUAUCGCUUUUUCUAUUCUCCACUGUGAACCUUUUGUAGACUUUUUAUGAUAUUUGACUUCUUAUUCCUAGGAGUUCAUGGAGACUUGCAUUUCUUAGAUGCUUGACUCUACCCUUAUCAUACAAGUCUAUGAUCUUUAUAUCUACUCCAGU
This 240-nucleotide unclassified non-coding RNA is filed under the name soil metagenome. Its description in RNAcentral is "partial contains 5.8S ribosomal RNA, internal transcribed spacer 2, and large subunit ribosomal RNA". The record is from RNAcentral.